GGGAUUGUGGGGGGUCGCAGCAGCUGCACCUAAUUUUGUAGUUUAAAAGUUAUAAAAAAUAAUUCGAAUUUAGCUUUUUUCCCCUUGUUUUAUAUACUCAUGUAAAUAAAUGGUACAUCAUGACAAGAAGACCCCUGUACUGCAGAUACAAGCUGGUGCUACCUAUAGCUAAUGUAUUUUUAGACUGAGAGUAAACUCUUAGUGUGACAUAAUCUGAACCCCCCAAUCAUCCUGCCACUUUCUUCUUCCAAAUUUGAACUCCUCAAAGCAGUGACGGACCACUCAGACAAUUACUGAAAGAGGUAGACAUUGCGGCAGCCAAUGAUUAGCUGAAUGGGCAGUUCCUGCUCGUACAAGUUUGUCUCAGAAGUGUGUCCGCUUUGUACCAGCGCUUAGUAGCGUACCUCCACUGUGGAAAGCAGCAGGAAGCCACCUAGUAUACACCCUUAAGAAACGAUCAUAUACCUCACAUGGAAGCCAGGAUGCGGAAGAACAACCAGCUAAUCCUUCCACUAGUGUGCAAGAAGAAAUUGGAUCACCCUGAAACCCAGAUGUUGAACAUGGAAAUGAAGAUGAAGAGCUUAUUACUACGCAAAAUAAUGUAAAUUAUGAAAUGUUACUCAAUCUUGUGCAAAUAUACAUGGCCAAAAAUGAGGAACACCAAAAACAAUAUAUGGAGAGCCUUAAUAAGGUUUAGGAUGUUGUUGAGCAGUCUUGCUCCAAAAUUUGUCAGCAGUUUAAUAC
Hyla sarda is the source of this 744-nucleotide long non-coding RNA. RefSeq lists it as uncharacterized. NCBI's taxonomy places the organism in Eukaryota, Metazoa, Chordata, Amphibia, Anura, Hylidae. The transcript has 3 exons. The record is from RefSeq and is a predicted model, not a curated record.